ACCUCCUACACCAGCCCAGGCCUCCAGAGGCUGAAGGACUCUCCGCAGACAGGUAAGAACACAGCGGCCACUGAUCCUGCCGCCCAGACCACCCAGGCCCGGUGUGCAGGAGAGAGGGGCCCAGAGCCCAGGUCACCCCCAAGACACACACAUCCAACACACAUAUAUACACCAACAUGAACACACAUGCACAUACACCUAACACACACACACAUACCCAAUAUACACAUGCACACACACCUGACACACGCAUACACAUGUACAUGACACAGAUGCAUGAGCACACGUCACACACACACCCAACACACUCUACACAGACACACAACCCAACACACAUGCAUACACACCCAACACAACCUACACAAACACACCUGAUAUACACAUGCACACACACCCAACACCCAUGCACACACAUCCCAGACAAGCAAACAUGUACACUUACAACACGCACGACUUACACAUGUGCACGUACCCAACACACACACACCCUACACACGCACCCUAUGUACACACCCUACACACCUGAGACACGCACCCAACACACACACACCCCGAAUGCACACACAUGCACUCGACACACAUGCCCAGCUCACACAAACACACAUGUGCACGUAACACAAUCACACCCAACACACAUGCAAGUGUAUAUCUCACACGCCUACACAGCCCUCCAACACACACACCCACAAUGCACAUGGACACACCUGACAUGUAUGCACACACCCCUGAGACACGCACAUACCUGCACACACGUGCACACACACAACACACAUACGUGUACCCACACACACGUGUGUACACAUGCCCACAGCGG
This 814-nucleotide long non-coding RNA is filed under the name Pan troglodytes (chimpanzee). RNAcentral describes it as "long non-coding RNA NONPTRT002924". The record is from RNAcentral. Lineage: Eukaryota; Metazoa; Chordata; Mammalia; Primates; Hominidae.